CCAGCUCUGCUCCAGGUGCUGAAACGGAUCCUUUUUGAAGGGCCAUGGUACCCACAGACCCCAGUGGGGCCACCAUGGCAGGAAUGGAUCCUGCCCUGCUUGCUCUAUGGCCAUGCCACCCACCCGCCAAAGUGCAGCAGCUUUGCCCUCCUGCCCCACCAAUGCCAUCUUCUUAAAAUGAGGCCUUCCGCCUGUGUGCUGGCAAACCACCGCCGGGCCAAGCUCAGUGCUGAGGAGCAUAUCCUGCUGCCUGCCUGCAGAGGAGGGAAGACAGGUAGGACCCCCCCAGCAAGGACAUGCUUCCCUGCUGCUUCUUGUGGAGCUGCAGACUGUAACCCAAGCACUCCAGAUUUCACCUUGGCAAGGACAGGUUCUCCAGGAAUCUGUUUAGACACAUGCCUGGGCACACUGAGGCCAACCCGGGAGGAAGAAAGCAAAGUGUCUGUUGUUUGCAUUGUUGUGCUUCUGUAUGUGUGGUGUGAAAAAGGAAAGGGGAAAAGAGGCCUUGGACUUUCCUCCCUGAUUUUCACUGCACCUCAGUAGCAGCCAUUCAGGUGCCGUCUCCCACCUCUUUUUCUCGCCAUUGCCCCACUGCACUGAACACAAACCCACCAGUUUUGGCCCAAAAUGCUGCCCUGUGGUGAUGGUCACACACCCGGGGUGUGUGGGGGGGGGAAGGGGGGCAAGACACCUCUGGAGGACACAUCUCAAAGUCUCUCUCUUUCCCCCGACCGUGGCAGAGGUGUGGGUGCCUAAUUUAGGCUGCUCAGAUGCCUGAAGUGAGUGGAAAGAAUCUUCACGUGGGAAUUCUCCCUCAGCUGAGGGGGCCAGCCCCACGCCAGCUGCGGGCACACUGCCCAGCCUAGCUCACCACCUCGCUGAGGGGCCGAGCAUCCACCCAUCCUCUACACCCUUCAGAGCCCGGCCCUUGCAAGAGGAACCCAUGGCUUUCCAGCACUCAGCUCUCCCAGCCCCACAUGAAAACGGUUCCCACUGAGAUUUCCCGGGUCAGACUUUGGGUUGCAUAUAAAGCAAGAAGACAAUAGAAGAGAUGAGGCUCGUCAUUGCAACAGCAAACGAAAAGCAAAGGAGCCUUUCUUGUACUUGAAGGGAAAUUGAAGUUGUAGUGCUGUAUUCUCAUUUACAAGACCCCUCAGGCUGCUAAUGCUUGCCUUUUCAUAACAAAAGGAUUGUGCUGUUAAUUGCUGCGGGCCAGGGCACACACAAAUGACUCUGAAUCCUGGACAACCUCUUUUAAGGGGGCACCCACUGCAGCUCAGGCUUGACAGUGGCUAAGGCAGCAGCACCAGAAAGCACCUUCUGUGCCUUUGUCUGUGAUAGGCAACAGAUUCAUU
Long non-coding RNA from Pogoniulus pusillus (Red-fronted tinkerbird), 1355 nucleotides. RefSeq lists it as uncharacterized. Lineage: Eukaryota; Metazoa; Chordata; Aves; Piciformes; Lybiidae. The transcript has 2 exons. The record is from RefSeq and is a predicted model, not a curated record.